GCUGAUUGUCACCAACGUCGUCUCCGCCGACCGCGAGUCUCCGGAGAGCGUGACCGAGUACGGCCAUGAGCGGCUCGACCAGGCACGGGCGGCCUUGGCCGAGCGUGGUGUCGAGGCUGAGCUCGUGCCGACCUCGGGACAGCCGGCCGAGGCGAUCGUCGCGCUCGCCAAGGAGCGCAACGCCGACCUAAUCGUGGUCGGGAUGCGCAGGAAGGGCUUCUUCGAGCGGCUCGUCGAGGGGAGCGUCGCGCAGGACGUCAUGCGGCGGGCGACGUGCGACGUCCUAGCCGUCCACUAAGCGCCGCGCCUUGAACGAUCCGCUCCUGAUCCUCGCCGGUUUGAUCACCGGGCUCCU
RNAcentral lists this unclassified non-coding RNA (355 nucleotides) under uncultured fungus. Its description in RNAcentral is "sequence contains ITS1". The record is from RNAcentral. Lineage: Eukaryota; Fungi.